This 1086-nucleotide long non-coding RNA is filed under the name Felis catus (domestic cat). RNAcentral's name for it is "lncRNA (ENSFCAG00000050963.1)". Lineage: Eukaryota; Metazoa; Chordata; Mammalia; Carnivora; Felidae. The record is from RNAcentral.
AUGCGGUCCGGGGCCGUCUCCAAGGGCAGCGGGGCUGGCGGGCGCUGCGCCCGGCGCCGCCUUACCUGGAGUCAAUGUCCGUCUUUGGCGGAGAGCUGCGGGAGGACGCUUUUUAUUCGGCUCGGUGGGAAGUUGGGAGAGCCCUGCGUCCAGCUCGCAUACCGGGAACGGCGCGGGGACUGCAGGCGUGGGGGUACCUGGCUCCUAGCAGCCUGGCUCAUACUCAGCCGUAAAGUCCCCUCCGCAGGUCCCGAGGACAGGCAUGAAUCCCGGCUCCGGAAGGCGGUCACUACUCCCUCAGCCUCCCGGCUCUCUCGCUCUCGCUUUGCUCUCUGGCUCGCUCGCCCGCUCCCUCGCUCCCUCGCUCGCUCGCUCGUUCGCCUGCGCUUUCCUCCUCCCCCCUCCCCGCGCCAGAUCAGUUCACAGCCGUGGGGACCGGGAGCGAGGCGGCCAGCGAAUGGAGAGGGAAGUCCAAGUGCGCCGCGGUCUCCGGGCGGGGAGCAGUGGAGGCCGGGCUACGCGGGAGGAGGGACUUACCCGGCGACGGGCGAAAAUGAAUGGGGGAGCGGCUGCCGGGGGCGGGGAGGGAGGAGCCUAGAGCCAGGGUUUAUUCUGAGGAGUGUUUUGUACAUCUUUAGGCGGAGGAGGAGAAGGGAGAGGAGGAGAGAAAAAAGGCCUUCUCCGAGGGAGGGGCGGCCUGGGUGGGCUGAGGCUGAGCCACUGGGGAGUCUAGUGGGUCUGGGGAUAGGGUGGCGUGUCUCCGUGUAUGAGCGCCCAAAGGGACUUUGUGAUGUGUGUGUGUGUGUGUGUGUGUGUGCGCGCAAACCCUGCGUCGUGGUGUUUCUAAGCGUGUCUGUAGCUGUGUGCGUCGCGAGUUAUAUGAGUUUUUCCGGGUAUGCGGGUGCUAGUGCGUCUGUGUGUAUCUAUUCGAGUGUGGUUUUGUCUGGGGAGGUGACUGUGUGGGUCCGUGUGUAUCCGUGUGCCUCUGUAUGCGUGUUUAAGACUGUUUGUUUCUCUGUAUGUGUAGGCAUGAGCCCCACGGAACCUCCCAGAAUUAAGCAAGUGCUUCUCGGAGCAAGAAGCUGA